UACAGAGGGGGCAAGCGUUGUUCGGAAUUACUGGGCGUAAAGGGCGCGUAGGCGGCCCGCUAAGUCGAACGUGAAAUCCCCAGGCUUAACCUGGGAACUGCGUCCGAUACUGGCAGGCUUGAAUCCGGGAGAGGGAUGUGGAAUUCCAGGUGUAGCGGUGAAAUGCGUAGAUAUCUGGAGGAACACCGGUGGCGAAGGCGGCGACCUGGGUAGAUACUGACGCUGAGGCGCGAAAGCCAGGGGAGCAAACGGG
Molecule: ribosomal RNA, 253 nt
Filed under: uncultured bacterium
Lineage: Bacteria
Description: partial 16S ribosomal RNA
Rfam family: Bacterial small subunit ribosomal RNA
Source: RNAcentral